Molecule: transfer RNA, 70 nt
Filed under: Conasprella wakayamaensis
Lineage: Eukaryota; Metazoa; Mollusca; Gastropoda; Neogastropoda; Conidae
Description: tRNA-Arg
Rfam family: tRNA
About the family: Transfer RNA (tRNA) molecules are approximately 80 nucleotides in length.
Source: RNAcentral
AUAUAAAAAGCGAAAGAUUUUGCAUUUGGCUUCGGACCAAACUUUGAAGGUGUAAAUCCUUCUUUAUAUU